CAGCAGCCGCGGGAAUACAGAGGGUGCAAGCGUUAAUCGGAUUUACUGGGCGUAAAGCGUGCGUAGGCGGCUUCUUAAGUCGGAUGUGAAAUCCCUGAGCUUAACUUAGGAAUUGCAUUCGAUACUGGGAAGCUAGAGUAUGGGAGAGGAUGGUAGAAUUCCAGGUGUAGCGGUGAAAUGCGUAGAGAUCUGGAGGAAUACCGAUGGCGAAGGCAGCCAUCUGGCCUAAUACUGACGCUGAGGUACGAAAGCAUGGGGAGCAAACAGGAUUAGAGACCCCGGUAGUCCCUGUCUCUUAUAC
Molecule: ribosomal RNA, 301 nt
Filed under: uncultured bacterium
Lineage: Bacteria
Description: partial 16S ribosomal RNA
Rfam family: Bacterial small subunit ribosomal RNA
Source: RNAcentral